This 2977-nucleotide long non-coding RNA is filed under the name Monodelphis domestica (gray short-tailed opossum). RNAcentral describes it as "lncRNA (ENSMODG00000041661.1)". The record is from RNAcentral. Lineage: Eukaryota; Metazoa; Chordata; Mammalia; Didelphimorphia; Didelphidae.
GGCUUAGAACAUUGAACUCUUUAGCCAGCAUUGAUUGGAUCUACUCUAUCUGACACCGGAGAAAGAAUUCCAGGAUGAGUUUUGAUUUCCAUUCCUGAAGGGAGUAACCAAAUCAAAGAGAAGAUCCGAAGAUCCAUAGAUCCCAUGGAAUCCUGGGGGAACCCUGUAAUAAUAGAAAAUUUAGAAUGGAGGUUUCGGCUGCAAAAAAAAUCCCAUACUUAACAAAGGUCAACUGAGGCACUACUGAUGUACCAGUGAGCAAUCUUCCUAGCAGAAAAGCUCCUUCCCAAAUGAAGGCAUGGCAAGCUGAGCAGUGCAUCCCAGUGAAGAGAUUAAUCGGCCAGUUGUUGCCUCACAAACAAUCUUUCUUAAUGGAUGAUGCCCCCCAAAAGUGGCACAGAUUUGAUAGAUCUGUUAACAUUUUUCAAAUGGCCUGCCGCACACUUAUUCCAGUUUCUCUUAUUAAUAAGACAAUUACCAGUUUGGGUAAUACAUUUAAAGAAGAGGCUUUCCCUCAACUCUGCUAAAAAAUAUACUUUACAGCUGUCACAGGGAGACGCUUCAUAAUGAUACCCAGGAGCAAAAUCUCUCCAAAUACCACAGGAAAAACUCAAGGGAAAGGAAAAAGUAGUAGCAAUAGGGUGAGUCUCUUAAUGCGACACUGAGAUGCAAGCUGGUUCCUUGGAGUCGGAUCCUGAAGAGGUGCCCCCUUGGAAUUAGGAGGCAUUCAUAGCCAGGGGCAUGUCUUGACACAGUUAUUUCUGAGUAGCCUGGAGAGAAGCUCAUGCUAUUGAGAACACACGGAUCAUAAAAGGGUAACAAAGGGAGUCAGUUCAUUCAUUCGUGCCUGUACAAGUGAAGAAAUAAAUUGUACUUUCUCUUGAGGAAGGGACUGGAUUUCCUGCUAGAGAACUACCAGAUGAUUUUUGGAGUCUUGGGAAGCCACGUGAGCUUGAUAAUACUGUUUAAGGAGACAAACUCGACAAUCUUGAAUGAAUGUAGGAUUUGUGCUGUCUGUCCGGUGUACUCUCCAUCAUUUCCUGUGAUGGCCCCACUGGACAUCUGCAUGUUGAUUUCAUCUGCAUGCCCAAGUCUGGUUAAGGUAAAGUCUUCCUUCAUCUUACUUGUUGGGAUAAAGCCUUCUCUACAACUUGGCAAGAUAAACUCUGAAAUAAACCUAGUUAUCCUCCUUUUAUCUAUAGGACACACCAGUGGGGUAAAUUAUUGCACAUAAAUGAGGCAUGAAAAGGAGGCACAGUGGAGGGGAAGAUGGGGGAUGUGGAGAGAAGAGCAGGGCAUCUUACUCUCAUCAAAAUUGGCUCAAGGAGGGAAGAAUAUCCACAAUCCAUUGGGUAUUGAAAGCCCUCUUACCCUACAGGCAAGUAGAAGAAGUGGCCAAGAGAAAGGGGAUGGGGCUGAUGGAAAAGAGGACAAAUUGGGGGAAGCUGAGGCCAGAAACUAAGGUUCAAAUAGGAUGUAAAGUCUUACAUAGGAAUCAUAAUGGUGCAAAAAGCUUUUACAAAUCUCUCUGAUAAAGACCUCAUUUCUCAAAUAUAUAGAGAAAUGAGUUGAAUGUAUAAGAAUACAAUCCACUCCCCAAUUGCUAAUUUUGCGUGUUGCUCAAGGUUAGGACCCUCUGUGCUGCCUCUGGGACCAUUUUGCCCUGGUGCGUGCACACCCUCUCCCUGUGCUGUGAUGUUCUGCACAGCCACUCCUGGAUGGAUCCCAUCCCUUGUGCCUUCCAUAGAGUUAUUGUCUGUCUCCCUAUACUGGCCUGGGCUAGAAGAAUGAUUUGUGCUUUUUAACCCUAGAUUUCUUAUCCAGGAUUUGGUCAGAUCUAUUCUCCAGUUCUCAACUAAACUAGGUUAAUCUCAAUUAAAGCUCUCUAUAGUCAUGCAAAAAUUCUCUAAAUUACUAUUAAUUAGAGAAAUGCACAUGAAAAUAACCCUGAGGUCCCAGCCAAUGCCUAUCACAUUGACUUAUGACAGAAAAGGAAAAUGACAAAACUUGAAGGGAAUAUAGGAAAGCUGGGACACAAAUUGUUGGAGAGUUGUGAACUGAUUUAUAUUCAAGAGAGCAAUUUGAACCUAUGCCCAAUGGGCUAUAAAACAUAACUUUUGGCCCAACAAAACCAUUACUAGUACCCCCCCAAAUUAAAAAGGUUUAAAAAAAGAGAAACUGAGGCAGACUAGAGCUGCAUAUGAGCAGAUAGAAUUAGAUGCUUCAAAUUCUUCUAUCUAUGAGACCUCCAAACCACAGGGUCUCAACUGCUAGCUGUGAUGACAUCCAGAGCUGGCUUAGGGACCCAGAAGUCCCCAGAUCCCAGCUGUCUUUGAGAAGACAACCCUCUUUUUUAAGUAACUCACUCCCUUCUCACUUUCCCUCCUGAAAGGGCAAAGAUUUGGAAAGUGAGGCAUUACCCAUCAAAUGGGGAUGGCUGAGUAAGUUAGAGUAUAUGAUUGUAAUGGAAUACUAUUGUGCUUUAAGAAAUGACAAGUAGGAGAACUUGGACCUGGAAAACCUUACAAGUGAAGUGAAGAAAGCAGAACCAAGAGAACAUUGUACUCAGUGACAAGAACACUUUACGAUGAACAACUGUGAAUAAUAGCUCUUCUCAGAAACACAGUGACCCAAAACUAUACCAAUGGACUCAUGAUUUUAAAAAAAGUCUGUGUAUUUUCAUAGAAAAAGAAGAGUCUGAAUCCAGACCAAAGAAAACUUUUUUCCCUUUCUUAAUAUUUUUUUAUUUAAGUUUCUUUCCACAAAAGAAUUAAUAUUGAAAAAUGUUUUACAUGAUUGCACAUGUAAAAUCUAUGAGAUUGCUUACCAUCUCUAGGGGUGGGAGUAGGGGUUGGAGGGGAUAGAGGGAGGGAGAGAAUCUGAGACUCACUAUUCUUUGAAAAAUGUGAGAAACUGGUUUUUUUUACAUGUAACUGGGGGAAAAUAAAAUUUAAAAUGUGAUAUAUGGAAAAAGCCA